UGUAACCUUCGCCAGAUAAUUAAUGCGUGACAACCACAGGCUUUGCACACGCUUCGGCAGCAGGCUUGGGAGGAGCGCACAGACACCAGAGCUACAAAUAAAUUACAGGGGAAGGCUGCACCUCCCCCUGAAAACGAACGCUCCGCAGAUGGCGGCCUGCUGCUCCCGGGCGUCCUUGUCAACAGUGUGGGCAACACGCAUGGUCUCCCCGAGGGGGAGACUGAGGCAAGGCAAGUGACUCACAAAUGGCAUUCAGCAAGUUGUCGCUGGAGGCGUGCAGCGCGGAGUUCCGGGCAGAGUCUGCCUAAAAGAGGGGGUUAUGUGCACCGGGUCCAGCAUCUGAACGGCUUUCUGCAGACAGACCUGGGACAAGUGGACCCUCUCCUUAGGUUGGGCCCCUCGGUCCUGCCCCCAGCUCCUGUGCCAGGUGGAGCUAACUGGAUCUUCGUUGCAGCCCACGAAGCCCCCAGUUCGGUCACUGGUCUGGAUUCACUGCUUGUUCUCUGUGCUCUCAAAUGACGUGUGACCAGCUCUGCAUCCAGCGUUUUAGUUAUUUCUCACCCUGCCGCCACUCCCGCCUGGGCAUUCCGGAAGGCGAGGAUUGUUUUACCUCUGCAUCAUCUGCUCCUGGCAUGAUGUGCCUAGCACCUAGCUCCCCUGAGAACUGUCAUCCACUGCAGAUGCAGGGGGCGGAUUUCGAGGACAAACCGUGAGGUACUUGGUGUCACCACUUGGCCGAGCGUUUUUGUCAGCUAGACCGGAGUCCCAGGUCAGCCUGCAGGAACCAGGCCCAGCAGAGGUACCCCACCAGGGGCGUUUGGAACGAAGGACGCCAGGGUGGGGAGGCAGCAGGCCUGCCCCUCUGUGGACGCGGCGUGUCUGCCUGAGGCCUGGCACACUGGGAGAGCACUUCCUGCAUCCAGCUGCCUCCUCCAGCCAGCGUGUCAAGCUACAAGUACCCACUGAGCACCUACUGUGCGCCAAGUGCUGGGCCAGGUGCUGCGGAAGGGCAAAGCAGCAGAGGUCACUGGGGGCCCAUGGCCUGUGGAGCAUUAACUGGUUGGAGGCCUACAGACACAGUGGGCCCUGCAGGGCGUGCGAUCGAGGUGGUGCGGGCACAGUGGGCCCUGCAGGGCGUGGGAUCAACGUGGUGUGGGCCGUAGGGGUGGGGGCGGUGAAAGUACGGCUCUGGCCGCUCCCUCCCCUCCUUACAGGGCUCCUGCUCUGAGACUCUCACUCAUUCCCCAGGGCCCCCUGCACUGAUGACCCCAAAUCUGGACCUUGGGCCAUGCCUCGGGCUGGAGUUCCUGACCUAGGGGCUCAAUUUUCCCAUCAAGCUCAGAGUACCCGCAAGGGAAGCCCCUCCUCUUCCCACGGGCAGUUCUGGCUCCUGUGCCCCGUCCCCUCCAUGUUGGAGCCACUCCCUGACUCCUCUCUCUGCCCCAUCCCCUUACCCAACCGUUGACAACUCCACGGGCCCUACUGCCGAAUCUUCACUAGGCUGUCUUGCCCAGUGUUGCUGUCACAGUUUCCGACCGGGGCCUCUGGCUCUCCCCAGGCCAGACUCCAAGAUCACAAACCACUGUUCUCGCGGUGGCUCCCUGUUACCUUCCGGAAAGUCCUGAAACCUGCCAGAUGUCACCCCCUGGGGGCCCCCAGGGCUGCCCCAGGUCCCAUCCCACCUAAGGCCUAAUUCUUUGCUUUGAAAAUUUUUCAAAAAAAAAAGUUUGAAAUUCAUGCUGAUUUUUUUCAGUUCUUUGUCUACUCCUUUGACCGGGAGAGCUAACCUAAACCGUCCAGCCCACCCUUCUGUGCUCCGCUGCUCGCACCUCCCCCUGCCUCCUGGCCCUCUGCAUGCCAGUCCUAUCUGUCCACACGGCAGGUCUUCAUCCCUUGGACCAUCCCAGGUCCUCAUCCUUCGCUCCUGCCCUUCUUGUACACCCUCGGGACGGGCUAGUCACAGCACACCUGGGCCUGGGCCUGGGCCUGGGCCUGCUGGGCGUUAGAGUAGAAGCCUGCCUCUCUUGUCUGACAGCUGCUCUGCUCAGGAGCACACACAGCAGGGCCCAGCAGACACCACCUCCUGGUUGGCACCCAGACACAUUUGAGAGGAGAGCUGGUGUGUGGCAGGGGUGGCCAUAUCGUGUCCGUGACUCCUAGACAGUGUCACACCCAAGUCAUAGCCUCUUCUGAAGAAGUGGGACAGCACUUUCUGCCCAUUACCAAAGUCCGCCUCCUCCCUGCAGAGCCAUAGCGGACAGCCUGCGCUGUACUCAGAUGGAGCAAGAGUUAGGCCCGAGGGAGGGCAUGCACCUCAGCCCCGACGGCUGGGCUUGCAAGUCAGUGCCGCGUUCCCCAGGUGCAAC
Molecule: long non-coding RNA, 2366 nt
Organism: Tupaia belangeri chinensis (Chinese tree shrew)
Lineage: Eukaryota; Metazoa; Chordata; Mammalia; Scandentia; Tupaiidae
Exons: 4
Source: RefSeq, a predicted model, not a curated record